UUAUUUUCUUUUUUUCAUCUUCUUCUUUCUAUUUUGAACCGGUGAAAAAAUAGAAAGGUAAAAAAAAGCUCCUUGAGAGAAAUGGUGUUUUCUGCAAUUAAGCAGGUACAGUGCUCCAUAGUUAAAUCUCAAUCAAAGUACACUCCGUACAAAGUAUGUCCCCUCUUAAAGAAUCCCUAGUCAUAUUUUUCUAUUCCUGUGUCCCUACAAUCUUGGAGCGAGCAAGCAUGGGGUCAGUCAUAUAUAAUUGUGGCCUUUCGAAACCCUAGGUGACGAUUCUUCUCAACCACUCAUUCAAUAUACUAUUUUGAUUGUACUGCUCAUCGUAUACUCUGCAAUUUGUUUAAUUGCUUAUUUGUGUGGAUCAAAUUUAUGGGUAGGUGGAGCUUUUAAUAGGAAAAUGAACAUUUUCUAAUCUAGGGUUACUGAAUGUCGCAAAAAUUAAAAAUAAAUAAAUCAUGGUCUGCUUUUUCUUGUGAUUUCCCCCUUAUUUCAGUUCCAAAGCAUAACUAAUGUAGAGCUUCAAUUUGAAUAAUUUGAAAAAAAAUUAGAUUAUCUUUUUUAUACUCUUUACGUCCCAUUUUAUAUGAUGAAGUAUGUCUGGGCAUGGAGUUUAAGAAAGAAAGAAUUUUGAAACUUGUGAUUUAAAAAUUUGACAAAGGAAGAGCUAACUUUGCUUUUGUUACCAUUAAAAAAAGAAGUAAUAAUGGAUGUAUUGGUAGUCUGCACGCAUUGAUUUAAGAUUAUAGAUCCGGAUUAUGAAACCUUUUUCUAUGUGGUGUCGCCAAAAAUUCAGGGGCGGAGGGAGAGUAUUGGCUAUGAGUUUGGCCGAAUCCCGUAGCUUUGGUUCAAUGUCUCAUUGAGGACGUGUGAAUAACAUUGAGGUUUAGUGCAUGGAAAACUCCAAUCCCCGUAUGUGCAACGUUGAAAUGGCUCCUCAUUUGAUUGUGCCAAAGGGAUAUAAAAGAAAGAAGUGGCUUUCGAUAGAUUGUUGGUCAAGAAGUUUUACUCUGUGCAAGUUUAAGCCUACCUUGUCACAUUUUAGCAAAUUCUAUCAUCAUAAUAGACACAUAUCAAGAAGUAUAUGUUGGAUGCGACACAAUCAUCUUAGACAAUUUUUUCUUUAUCUUUUAAGCAUCCGUGUGUGUUACCUAUACCCUCUGGCAGAUAUUUUCAUUUCUUUUACAAUUGUGCAAUUUUGUAGGUCUACAUUUUCAUCUUAACAUUAGCAUUAUAUUGGAUUUAUAUUGUGACUAUGUUGGGCCUUGGAGGUCUGACGUUUAUUUUUAGAUGAAUUCCUGGCAUCAUAACCAUUUUAUAGAACUCGUUUUUCAUUUGAUAGACUAUGGUAGAAACACACUACUACUAGAGCUAUCAUGCGACAACACUUUAUUGAGAAAAAUCACAAAUAAGUAUAUAUGCAAAUAAUUGUUUUUUUUUAGAAAUAAUGCUUGUGUGUAUAUUAUAAGCUGACACCACUUGAAAAUAAAACAAAAACAUCAAUUUGAGACAAGUAAUAUAGAACAGUCCACCCAAACCCACAUACAAGCUGAGUUCUGAUAGUAUGCCGACACCACUUGUGCAAAAUCUUGUGCAUUGGUAAUCCUAUCACAUAGUGUUCUCGUAGUAACUCCUCCAUCUCAUGAGUGAUCCUUCUUAACUUUUCUUUUUUGAAAGUAAAAAAAUUAAUAAAUUAAGAAGGAUGACUGAGAUGAAAGAGGUGCUACAACAACACUACGUAAUCAUAGAAUACCUAUAAUUCUAUGUGUCACAUUUUCUUAUAUCACUGCAAACUUUCUAAGUCAAACAAAUUAUUAAUAUAUCUUCCAAAAUAUCCAAUUGAACUUUCUAUGUCUAGGAUCUCUUUGAUUGUUGAAUACCUUUAGCUACUCUUAGUUUCCAUAUUACAUGAAGUUAUGGAAGAAACUACUGCAAUGUCUCAUUUUUAAGCUAAAACCUCUUGUGGAAAAUCAAAUGUGCUCCACAAGCAUUAGCAUAUCUUCGUUGUUUUUGACUUUGAGAAACUCUUGUCAACUUUUGGAUAGCAAGAGUCUUCUAAAUCCUAGUAUAUUUUAUCCAUGGAAAAACUUUUGUGAGCCUAGGAAAGUUUACAUUGUGGACCCUAGAGCCAAUUGUUAUAUGUGCUAGAAUUUUCUGUUAUCUUUAGUCUUAUUUUAAGAGAAGAUUUGGUAAGUUUCCUAGCAUUUUCCGUCUUUUCACUUUUACCGAAACUUGGCAUGUGGAUAAAUUUAAGUUGCAAUGAAGUAAAAUUAGAAAUGAAGAAAGAAAAGCUUAAAUUAAAAAAAACAAAAGAGAGGACAGGCUAUUUAACCUAUUAUAAUGUUAAGAUUGGACACGACAAAAAGAAAAGAGGAGCUACUUGAAGAUUCCUGUGUCUUUUGCUACAACUUUAGUGGUCGAAGUCGUCAUUUUUGGAUACAGGAAUGCACUUUAUAAUCCAACCGAUAGGCCAUGACAAUGAUGAAAUCCCUAUGCAUGCAGCCCAUUGCGUCCAGUUCAGCCUUUCAGUAUCAGCAAACUUCUUCAGGAAUUCAACCAUAAUUACCUGGAGAACUAUUGUCACUCCCACUAUCCCAACAAAUAGUCUAUUCUUCAGUAUUCCACGGAAUAUGUUUUUCUUCUCCAAAUUCCUUGCAUUGAACUCGUUAAAAACUUGACACAGAACGAAAGUAUUGAAUAUCAAGGUGUCUUUUACCUUCUUAUUCACAUGAAAUAUGGCACUUCCUUUGAACUGCAGGAUCAAUAGCACCGUUACCUGAUACAAGGCUUGAGCAAGGAGAUUCCUCCACAUCACUCCAGUUAUCAGUGGUUUAGUUCGUCCAACUGGUUUCUUGUUCAUUAGAUCGCAACUGGGUCGUUCAGUUGCCAAAGCUAAGGCCCCCAGAGUAUCC
This 2912-nucleotide long non-coding RNA is filed under the name Solanum tuberosum (potato). RNAcentral describes it as "long non-coding RNA (STUB_LNC002236)". Lineage: Eukaryota; Viridiplantae; Streptophyta; Magnoliopsida; Solanales; Solanaceae. The record is from RNAcentral.